RNAcentral lists this unclassified non-coding RNA (312 nucleotides) under plant metagenome. RNAcentral's name for it is "partial contains 5.8S ribosomal RNA, internal transcribed spacer 2, and large subunit ribosomal RNA". The stretch from base 1 to 105 matches the Rfam family "5.8S ribosomal RNA", at positions 50 to 154 of the family's 154-position model. The record is from RNAcentral.
GAAAUGCGAUAAGUAGUGUGAAUUGCAGAAUUCAGUGAAUCAUCGAAUCUUUGAACGCACAUUGCGCCCCUUGGUAUUCCAUGGGGCAUGCCUGUUCGAGCGUCAUUUGUACCCUCAAGCUCUGCUUGGUGUUGGGUGUUUGUCCCCGUCUCCGCGCGUGGACUCGCCCCAAAGUGAUUGGCAGCCGGCGUACUGGUCCCGGAGCGCAGCACAUGUCGCGCAAACGAGUGCCUUGGUACGGCGGCGUCCAUAAGCCCCUCUCUCACGCUCUUGACCUCGGAUCAGGUAGGGAUACCCGCUGAACUUAAGCAU